ACAAAUGGUCAAAUUUAGAUAAUUUUUUUAGCUUCUUACUUGUAGUACUGAAGUAAGAACAAUUGUUAGCAAUAUCUAACAUUACGAUAUCUAGUCUACCUGGCUGACAACUGGAAAAAUAAGAAGCAUGUAUAAUUCUAACAAGAUUUUUGAUUUUAGAUAACGUAAUGGUAUCAUAUUAGUCAAUGUCAUCUGUUUCAUGCAUUGUAAAUAGGUAUCACUGUCAGAAAACCCAAUUAGCUCUAUAGAUUCAGGAGCACUGAUCUUGUUUAUAUUCUACAGGUUUGUCCCUUGUUUAUAUUCUACAGGUUUGUCCUUGUUUAUAUUCUACAGGUUUGUCCCUUGUUUAUAUUCUACAGGUUUGUCCCUUGUUUAUAUUCUACAGGUUUGUCCCUUGUUUAUAUUCUACAGGUUUGUCCCUUGUUUAUAUUCUACAGGGUUGUCCCUUGUUUAUAUUCUACAGGUUUGUCCCUUGUUUAUAUUCUACAGGUUUGUCCCUUGUUUAUAUUCUACAGGUUUGUCCCUUGUUUAUAUUCUACAGGUUUGUCCCUUGUUUAUAUUCUACAGGUUUGUCCUUGUUUAUAUUCUACAGGUUUGUCCCUUGUUUAUAUUCUACAGGUUUGUCCCUUGUUUAUAUUCUACAGGUUUGUCCCAGUACAGCAGUUUUCAUACUUAUAACUCUUCUAUUUCUGCACUUAAAAAAAACCUAAUAUCAAUAUCAUAAACUAGUUUAAUUUGACAGCAGUAAUUAUGGUAAUGAAAUGAAC
Mytilus californianus (California mussel) is the source of this 767-nucleotide long non-coding RNA. RefSeq lists it as uncharacterized. The record is from RefSeq and is a predicted model, not a curated record. NCBI's taxonomy places the organism in Eukaryota, Metazoa, Mollusca, Bivalvia, Mytilida, Mytilidae. The transcript is spliced from 3 exons.